Arachis ipaensis is the source of this 2381-nucleotide non-coding RNA. Lineage: Eukaryota; Viridiplantae; Streptophyta; Magnoliopsida; Fabales; Fabaceae. The record is from RefSeq and is a predicted model, not a curated record.
AAAUAAAUAAAAAUAAAUGUUAAUAAAAAUAAAUAUAAUUCACCUGGCAAAACCGGAGAAGAUGAAGAUGAGAGAGAGCUGGAACUCUUGGUGGGGAGGAGUAGGUAGCGCAGGUAGGGAGAAGACUUCCUCCGGCAUCACAAAACCGGAGAGGGUUAAAGGAGAGAAAGACAGUAAGAGACACAGACGCUAGAUCAAGAGAGAAAGGAAGAGGAAUGAGGCGACAACGGUGAUGGUGGCCAUCGCCGCUGUUGGUUCCGCAGUCCUCCGUAUAAUGGCUUCGUAGUCCUUCCUUCGCGGGCGGCAGCAGGUUCUGCGAAUGCGAUGACCCAGUUCCUUACGACGGUGUACUUCAGUGAUCUGGACGUGCUCCUAUGGAGUUUUGAUUCUGAUGAACAUAGCAGUGCUUCCAUAGCAAUGCUAAGGAAAUUGGCUUCAUUAAGGGUCUCCUCCCACGUUUCCAUCAAAGCAGAGAUGAAGAAAACAUGACGGUGAAGAGGGGAAGCACGAGAGAAGAAAGAAACAUCCUUAUUUCAGUAAUUGAUUGGACUUCAUGCUUUCAUGCCUGAGCCAGCUCAAGAGGAGAUCUUCUCCCUUUGGGAACAAGUUGUUGUUGCCUGUAUGAAGUUUAAUUCUGCAAACUAAGAUCAAGGAGAAGCUAGUGGAAGGUGAAAACAAGAUCAAGUGCAAAAUGAGGACUUUAAUUGUAAGUUCUGGAGAAAACUUAUGCUGGGGAGGCUUACCCUUUAGAAGCAGUGCAAGGGAGUUAUUUUGAUCAUACUUUCGAGGCUUUUUCUUAUUGGAAAAAGGAGAAGUUAAUGGAUCCAUGAAGAAAGUGGGUGAACAUUUUUUUGAAUCAGCCAAAAUUAAACCCUAAGAAUGGAAGAAAUUCUGCAACAACAGGGUAUUACUUUGGCUUACUAUUUCCUAUGCUUCCAUAUAUACUAUGUGAUGAUAUAAAUUAUGUAUAGAACAAUUCUAUCAUUUCUAUGUCUUACAUUAUCAAGUAUGAGGAAAUUGAAAAUUCUGCAUUACUCGAGUGACUAUUACUGAAAACCCUUGAGGAUUCUGUGAUCUUGUUCUUUAUUUAAAAAGCAAUUAGCAUGUAUGUUUAGUCACUUAAUUUUUUCCAGCAAUUCAGCUGUAGGUAACUUGAGAAAUCAACAUAGAGUCAUAGACUUCUACAACUUAUCUUUAGUUUCUUAUGUUCCAACUUAUGAUUAAGGUAUCAUUGUUUAGACAAUACUUAGCAACAGAUGAUUAGAAGGCACUAAUCCUAUCUAAAGAAGACCAUAAUGUCAUCUGUAAAGGUAAUAAUUUUAAUGUAAUUAUGAUAUGAGUUGUGAAUGUUGUUGUUCCAUUUUAUCAGUGAAAUUUUUUGUAAAUUGUUAUAGUUACUUCCAUUGCAUUCCAUUCCAUUUUCUCAUCAAAUACUUCAUCCUUACAUUUAUUGAUAUGCUAUUCAUUUCGAAUUGGAUGAUGAUGCCAAUGGGUCAUGUAACAAUUCAUCUUAGUUCUCUUUUCCUUUAAUGUAUUUUAUUUAUUUAUUUAUUUUGCAUUAUGUGUUUAUCAUUGAGUAGAGGAAGAUGGUCAGUAUUUAUUACGUGCUUUCUGUAUAAAGCAUAUGGUUUUCUCUUUGUUUUUAAUUUUCUUUCUUAGCACGUAUAUAUGUUUUUUUAUUUUUUAUUUUUUAUUUCUAACAAGUUCUUUAUGUUUGCUGUCAUAAUAUUUUAAUCUGGCAGUCAUUCUUAAAAUUCCAUUCAUUCUUAUGAUUGGGAGUACCACAAUGAGCAGCACUGAAGCAUUAAAAGCAGGAUUAUGUGAAAAGGCAUUAAUAGUAACUCAUUAUUAUCUUGAUUUGCGAUGGCCAGCAUUAGCACUUUAAUUAAGCUUCGAUGCUUCUAUAGGCAGCCAUCACUAUGUGGAAACUUAGUGUAUAGUGUGCAUAAUUUAAUUAUAAGAUUUUCUUCCUAAAAUUUAUGCAGUUACAUUUGGUUUAGACAAUUCUUAGGCCUGUUAUAGAACUUCAACGAAACUACUUGGAUUAUUAUGCUGAAAAUAGAGAAGAGAAAAUGCUUAUUCCACAGGCUGUUAUUUCUUUCCUCAGGAAUAUCCGCAGGAUCAUGUGUUUUCUCUAUAGGGAAUGGAGUAUGUGCUGCAUGGAGUCAUUGCUUUGGGGAUAAUGGCUGCUGGUGGUGUGCUCUCAGGAGGGAAUCCAGCAUCACAUGUUUUACAGAUUAAGAAGCAAGGUGAUUCUGCUGAUGCCAAAUUAGUUGUCACACUUUAAAUUAUGACAAGAUGAUUGUUUUAAGUAUAAUUAUGUAAUUCCUUUUUUUGUUAAACAAAAUUUUGGCAAUUGUCUAAAGCAUGAUUUUUUUUAA